Molecule: ribosomal RNA, 253 nt
Filed under: uncultured bacterium
Lineage: Bacteria
Description: partial 16S ribosomal RNA
Rfam family: Bacterial small subunit ribosomal RNA
Source: RNAcentral
UACGUAGGGUGCGAGCGUUAAUCGGAAUUACUGGGCGUAAAGCGUGCGCAGGCGGUUUUGUAAGACAGACGUGACAUCCCCGGGCUUAACCUGGGAACUGCGUUUGUGACUGCAAGACGAGAGUACGGCAGAGGGGGGUAGAAUUCCACGUGUAGCGGUGAAAUGCGUAGAUACGUGGAAGAACACCUGUGGCGAAAGCGGUUUUCUAGCCUACCCGAGACGCUGAGGCACGAAAGUUAGGGGAGCAAACAGG